RNAcentral lists this ribosomal RNA (1180 nucleotides) under uncultured Nanohalarchaeota archaeon. RNAcentral's name for it is "bacterial SSU rRNA". It matches the Rfam family "Archaeal small subunit ribosomal RNA", at positions 1 to 1175 of the family's 1478-position model. The record is from RNAcentral. Lineage: Archaea; Nanobdellati; Candidatus Nanohalarchaeota.
UUCCGGUUGAUCCUGCCGGAGGUUACUGCUAUCGGAGUCCGAUUUAGCCAUGCUAGUCCACCAAGCCCUUUGCGGCUUGGGGCGGAUAGCUGAGUAGCACGUGGCCAACCUGCCCUGUGGAUGGGGAUAACCUCGGGAAACUGAGGCUAAUACCCAAUAGGAAAGAGGUACUGGAAAUGUCCUCUUUCUGAAAUGUUCCGACGCCACAGGAUGGGGCCGCGGCUGAUUAGGUCGUUGGUGAGGUAACGGCUCACCAAGCCAGUAAUCAGUAGCAGCCGUGAGAGCGGUAGCUGCCAGUCGUGUUCUGAGACAAGAACACGGGCCCUACGGGGCGCAGCAGGCACGAAACCUCUACAAUGCACGGAAGUGCGAUAGGGGGACUCCGAGUGUGGUCUUCCCACAAGGAAGGCCACUUUUCUGCACUGUAAGAAGGUGCCGGAACAAGGGGUGGGCAAGACGGCUGCCAGCCGCCGCGGUAAUAGCCGCACCCCGAGUGGUGACCAGUAUUAUUGGGCUUAAAGUGUCCGUAGCUUGCCGUGUAAGUCUGCUGUGAAAUCCACGCGCUCAACGUGUGGGCGUGCAGCGGAUACUGCAUGGCUUGGGACCAGACGGGGUCGAGGCUAUUCCAGGGGUAGGAGUGAAAUCCUAAAAUCCCUGGAGGAGCACCUGUGGCGAAAGCGCUCGGCGAGUAUGGAUCCGACGGUGAGGGACGAAAGCCAGGGGAGCAAAGCGGAUUAGAUACCCGCGUAGUCCUGGCUGUAAACAAUGUCUGUUAGAUGUCGGGUAACCUCCGAGGUUACCCGGUGCCGAAGUGAAAACGUUAAACAGACCGCCUGGGAAGUACGGUCGCAAGGCUGAAACUUAAAGGAAUUGACGGGGGAACACCACAACCGGUGGGGGCUGCGGUUUAAUUAGAUCAAACGCAGCGCACCCUACCAGAGCCGACAGCAGAAUGACGGUCAGCUUGAAGAGCUUACCUGACGCGCUGAAAGGAACUGCAUGGCCGCCGUCAGCUCGUGCCGUGAGGUGUCCGGUUAAGUCCGGUAACGAGCGAAACCCGCAUCGCAUGUUGCAACGGAGCCCUUCGGGGCUUCAGCACUCGUGCGAGACCGCUGGCGAUAAACCAAAAGAAGGGCCGGGCCACGGUAGGUCAUUAUGGCCCGAAUGCUCUGGGAUACAC